CAGCUAAGUUUGUCCUUAAACAUCUCCAGGGAGGGUGAGUCUGCCGCCUCCCUGGGCAGUCCGUUGCAAUGUCUUCAUGGAGCGGGGGGUGCACAGAGAGAGUUGAGGCUGAUACAGGGUAAAAAAGGCACGGAGCGAAGAUUCUUACUCGCCCUCAGAGAUUUAUUGCCGCCGUGGGGCGGCUGUGGAGCCAUUCUCAUCUCUCGUUAUGCUUUACCUUCUGCUCCGAGGGAAUGGUCGGGUCUCACUGGGUGAUAUUGCUGAGGGAAGCCGGUAGGAAGUGUGGCAACGGGCGUUGGUGGUAUAGUGGUUAGCAUAGCUGCCUUCCAAGCAGUUGACCCGGGUUCGAUUCCCGGCCAACGCAGCUUUAGUUUUUAUUUCUUUUCCUCCUCGUAAUCUUUUUUCCACCGUUUCUCACCGAUCCGAACCGAAUUGAGAUGCACCGGUACGCGGAGCGCCCACCCGGCUGCGCUUUGCCCACUUGAGCCCCGUCGGGAGGCGGGCGCUGCUCAGCGAUGGGGCGCACGGUGCCCCACGGUUACUUCUCUUCCCAAGUCGCGGUGGAGACCCCGAGUCGUUAGGAGACGCCGGGGAAAUAAAUAAAUAACUCCGAAUUUAAAAGACCUUAAGCCCCUUCAAACCAAAAGAAAAACCCCAAACAACAAGAAAAUAAACCGGCACAAAAAACUACCACGAGAUGAGGGGGGGGAAAAAAAAAAAAAAAAAAGGGGGGAAAAAAAAAAAAAAAAAAAAAAAAAACAGGUGUUUCCGCCCGGGAUCGAACCGGGGACCUUUCGCGUGUGAGGCGAACGUGAUAACCGCUACACUACGGAAACCCGCCAUGAGAGCCAUUCCCCGGGGGUGGCCCAUGUUCCCGCCAUGUUGGCUGAGGGGACGUGAGACUCUCACGGCAACUUCGGAAUAAACCUCCCGCAAACCCUUAGAAAUGCCGCGCGGGAGUCCCAGCGAUUAUCAUCAAUGGCUAAUUGGAGCCCCCAGAGACCCGCUGGCCUCGGGAGGAGGCUGCGGCCCCUUCCAGCCUGGCGAUGGGUGGGGAGAGGAGCCGCAGAGCAGACAGCGCCAGGAGGCAGCUCUCGGAAGGCACCUGUGGGAGGAAGAGGCAGGGAUUCCAUGAAAGGCGUCGUGCUGUCGGUUGGCAAUGCAGAUGUUCAUGUUUAUCUGGCCAUGGGAGGACACGAGAGCAGUGUGCUCAGAGCUAUCAGCAAGAGCCUGAUCUUUCCAGCAAGCUGUUGUCAUGGUCUACAUGAAUUUAUCCAGUAGUCUCCCCCUAAGUGCUGCGGCAGCCGGGAGUCCCUUGGAGCUGCGAGCACAAACCCCACCAAGGACAGGCACACGCCUCGGAGCGACCUCUUCCUCCUCAUUAUGUUGGUGAUGGUCUCGAUGUCAGCGGUUCAAGGGGCACGCGGGGUUCAAUUCAGCGCCGAGAUAAAGGCAGGAGAGGCAUCCCCACUCCCUCGAGGCGCAGCGACUGCGCCGCUCCUUGAUUGUGCCUUUGGCAGACGCCUCAUUAAAAGUGGCUGUUCCACACAAACAUGCCCUUGUCCUUUCGCAGCCGUAAUCUGAGCGUGGAGGGAGAGCUCAGCCCCACAUCGGCGUGUCUGAGGCUGUGCAGACCUUGACUCUAACGAGCUGCUGUUCAUUUGUAGCCUUCUCUGCCCUUCCUGGAGCUGUACUUUCCUGGCGCAUCCUUAACUUACACUGUCUCACCGGCAGUUUGGAUCGUGCCUCCAGCUAAUAGAAUGAAAAUUAACGUUACCCAAACCAAACCCAGGACACUUCUCUUGCAAAUCCUUUGGUCUUAGUCCAAAUAACAUUUCUCCUCACAGAUACACCUCCUGCAUGAAACGUUCCCAUGUAAAACUAACAGGUAGAGGAGACAGACUCUGAAUCUUGCCAUUCCCAUCAUGUAAAUGGUUCAGUGGAAGGU
This 1948-nucleotide transfer RNA is filed under the name Ficedula albicollis (Collared flycatcher). RNAcentral describes it as "lncRNA (ENSFALG00000028549.1)". The stretch from base 293 to 364 matches the Rfam family "tRNA". Lineage: Eukaryota; Metazoa; Chordata; Aves; Passeriformes; Muscicapidae. The record is from RNAcentral.